Molecule: long non-coding RNA, 5359 nt
Filed under: Homo sapiens (human)
Lineage: Eukaryota; Metazoa; Chordata; Mammalia; Primates; Hominidae
Description: HSALNT0095755
Source: RNAcentral
AGCCAAUGCCCACUGUGAUCAAACUCAAUAGGAAGCUAGAUGGGAAGGGAGCUUGCUGAUGCCAUCCACACGGAUCAUCCUUGGAGGUGCAGGGCAGGGUGAAGAAGUGUGGAAGGAGGUCUGGAGAUGCUCAGAGCUGUGUCCUCCUCAAACUUUACAAUAGAGCUCAGAUCCACUCAGUCAAAUGCCAGAGAAGAAGAAAGAAGAAAGGAGACUCCUGUGGAUGCUCAGGUCCAUGUAAAAGGGCAUGAAAGAACUUCUGGCUUAGGGAAGAUGAGAUGUAGACCCAUUACUCUCUGUUCCUCUUUGUGAAGCACAGCUACAAACUCUGGAAUUAAUGCAAGAGGCAGCCAAAGGGGAACUGUGAAAGAUGUUAAGAAGAAAACUGGCUUUCAAUGCUAGAAAAGGAGGAAAUUCACAGCAGAAUACAAUCUUAUGUUCCCUUACCCAACAGAAGACAGCAACUCAGACACAACAUUCCACAACCCCUGACCCAGCGACUGAAGGAAGCUCAGUCAGGCUUAUUCCUCCCCUGGAUAGAUUAGGAGAGCUUGUGCUAUCAAUCAAGGCUAACAUAAUUGUCAAGAAACAUUAAUCAAAAGUCCCACAAAAAAUAAGUGGCCAAAGUGUUCUUCUCUGACAUGCCUAAGACUUUUCUCUGUUAUUGACAAAUAUCAAGGUGGUAGGCUAUAUCAGUAAGAGGAACUCAGGCACAAAAGUGACCUAGUUCAGGAAACCUUUUCUCUUUUGUGGGUCUGAGACUUCCCUCAUUUAUGUGAACACAUCAGGUGGCCCUGCCUGAGUAACCACCUACUACCCUCUCAGCCAGCACCAACAAGUACCAGGGAAGCUUCAGUAGCAAAGAUAAACCAAGCACAGCAAAAUAAUACUGCAAUAACUUUGAAAAUUAAAGUGUUUUUGGAACCACACUCCAUAAAAAUAGUACAGGACCUUUAUGUGAACUUGAAACAGCAUGAUUACUUGCUAAAAUAAGAUUUGAAUGAGACCCUGAGUAUUCUAAUAUAACAAACAAAAUGACCAGGAUGCAAAAGAAAAUCAUCUGUCAUACAAAAAAAAAAAAAACCAGAAAAUCACAACUGAAUGAAUAAAGGCAAUCGACUGAUGGCAAUACUGAGAUGAAUCCGAUCUUGAAAAGCAUUUUAAAUCAGUCAUCAUAAAAAUGACUGAAUAAUUAAGAAAUUCCAUUAAAAUAAAUUCCAUUAAAACAAAAAAAUAGAAAUUAGAAAAUAAAAAGAAGUUGCUUAUAAAGAACUAAUGGACAUUAUAAAACUGAAAAAUACUCUAAUACAAAUUAAAAGCUCGCUAGAUGGGCUUGAUAGUAGAGUGGAGAUGACAAAGGUUAGAAUCAGUAAACUUGAGGAUAUGACAAUGAAUUUAGCCCAUGUAAACAACAGAGAUAAAAUAUACUGAAUAAAAAACAAAGAGGGACUUACAGGACAAUAAUGAAAGAUCCAACACUUGUAUUAUCAGAAUUCCACAUGGAAGAGAGAGAGGGAGAGUGGUGCUGAACGAGUCUCAUAAAAGUAAUGGAAAUAGUCUUCUACAUUUGGGGAAAUAUACAAGAUUUAAGACACUGACUUAAACUCAGAUAGGAUAUCCAUGACAAGACACACUGUAUUGAACUUCUGAAAACUGGCGUCAGAGAAAAAAGAAUUGAAAGGAGCCAGAGAAAAUCCAAAGGGGAAAACUGAUUUGAAUGACAUAAUCUGAAACCAUGGUAGCCAGAAGGAACUGGCAAAAAAAAAUGUUCAUGUGUUGAGACAAAAGUCAACUAUAAACUCUACUACCAGCAAAAUUAUUCCUUAGAAAUGAGGAGAAUAUAAAGACAUUCUUAGAUAAAGAGAAAUUAAAAUAAUCUAUACUAGCAAAUCUGUUCUUAAAAAUAGCAAAAGGAAAUUCUUUAAACAGAAAGAAAAUGGUAAAGAAUCUUGGAGAACCAGGAAAAAAUAAAGAUACAAUGAAAAAAAGCAGACAUGUAAGUACAUAAAAUAGAUUAUCUUUUUUCUAUUGUGUUUGACAAAACAUAUCUGAUGACUGAAACAAAAAAUUAUUAUAAUACCAUGUGAUAUUCAGUACAAUAAUAUUUAAAAGUGAAGAGAUUUAGAGUCCAGGAAAUUACCAGAGAUAAAGGGAGAUAUGGAGCAAUUAUAAAAAGAUCAUUCUACCAAGAAGACAUACCAAUUUGAAGUGUGUACAUGGCUAACAAUGGAGCCUCAAAAUAUGUGAAGCAAAAACUGAAAGAUUUAAAAGGAGAAAUAGACAACAACUCAACAUGCCAUCUCAGCAACUGGUAGAGCUAGUGAACAUAAAAUUAGCAAAGACAUGGAAUAUUUAAGUAACAAACACAGUCAAGAAUAUAAUUGACAUUAUAGAAUGGUCCCCUAACAACAGCAGAACACACAUUUUUUUCGAGUGUCCAAGGAAGUUUUCCAAGAUAGACCACAUCAUAUCUUAUGUAUCAAAUUUUAACAAAUUUAAAAGAAUUUAAGUUAUACAGAGUGUAUUCAAUGACAAUAAUGGUAUCAAUCUAGAAAUAAUAAAAGAAAGAUAGCAGUGAAAUCUCUGAAAAUGUAAAAAUUCAAAACAUACUUUUAAAUAAUCUUUGUAUAUCUAAAAGGAAACAAGAAUACUCAUAGAACUAAAUGAAAGGGAAAGAAAUAUCAAAAAUAUGUGGGAUACAGCUAAAGCAGUGUUGAGAGAGAAAUUUAUAGCAUGAAAUUCUUAUGCUAGAAAUGAGAAAAGUUUUCAAAGCAAUCAUCUAAGACACCAUACCUCAAGAAAUUAGAAAAGAAAGCAAAAUCAUCCCAAAGCAAGCAGAAGGAAUGAAAGGGCAGAAAUCAACACAAUUUAGACUAGGAAGUGAAUAAUUAAUGGAAUCAAAACCUGACCACAUGGAGGAACCUGAAAGGCAUCAUGCUAAGUGAAAUAAGCCAGGCACAGAAAGACAAAUGCCAAAUGAUCUCACUUGUGAGUGGAAUCUAGAACAUCAAACUCACAGAAGCAGAGGAUAAGAGAGUGGUGGCCAGAAACUGACAAGGGGGUUGUGUGGCAGGUGAAGAAAAUAGAUGUUAGUCCAAGGGUACAAACUUUUAGUUGUGUUGGAUGAAUAAUAACUAAGCACAGUGACUACAGCUAACGAUGCUGUGUUGUGUACUUGAAACUUGCUAAGAGAUUAAAUUUUAAAUGUCUUUACCGCAAACACACACAAAAGUAGCUUUACAAAGUGAUGGAUAUAUUAAUUAACCUGACUGUGGUAGCCAUUUAACAAUAUCUACCUAUAACAAACAUCACAUUGUACAUCUUAAAUGUAUACAAUUUCAUUUGUCAAUUAUAGCUCAAUAAUCCUAGAAGAAAAAUAAUUUGUUCAUAUAUUUCAUAAAAUUCCAACAAUGUAUAAAAAGAAUUAUGCCCCGUGAACAAGUGGAAUUUAUUUCUAGUAUGCAAGACUGGUUCAACAUUGCGAAUCAAUGAAUAUAAUCCACAACAUCAACAGCGUAUUGAAAAAUUAUAUGAUUAUAUCAAUAUAGAAAUAAUAUUUGAUAAAAUCUAACUUUUUUUCAAGAUAAGAAUUCCCUGAAAGUUGGAAUUAGAGGGAUAUUACCCCAAAUGAUAAAAAUUACCUACCAAAUUCUAUAGCUAAAAUAUUUAUUAAUUAUAAAAUAUUAUUAAGUGAUUUCCCCUAAGAUUAGAAGCAGAAGAAGGAUGUCUUCUCUCACUAUUCGUAUUCCUUAGAGUACUGGAAAUACAAGACAUUGUAACAAACCAACAAAGAAACUAUAAAGACAUAUAGAUUGGAAAGAAACAAAAAAAAUUGGCAUUAUUGUCUAUGAGAAAAUCCCAAGGAAUCUACAAAAAAAAAUCUUCUUAGACUACGAAGUCAGUUCCGCAAGAUUGCAGAAUACAAGAUCAAAACAAAAUCAUCAACUGCAUUUCUGUAUAAUAAAAAUGAACUUGCAGAAACUGAAAGUAAAGAUAAAACACCAUUUUUAAUUGAUUCAAAGAAAAUGAAAUAGCUAGGUAUAGUCUCAAUGAAACAUGCACAGUAUCUGUGUAAUAAAAAUUCAAAAUGCUGAUAAAAUAAAGAUCUAAAUAAAUGAAGAAACAUACAACUUUCAUAGAUUAAAAGCCUUAGCAUGGGUAAAGUAGGCAAUCCUCCCCAAAUUAAUGUAUAUAUUUAAUGCAAUUUCUAUCAAGAGACAUUUCAACAAAGAGGAUAUACAGAUAGCAAAUAAGCACCUAAAAACAUUUUGAAUACUAUUAGUCAUCUACAAUAUAAAACCAAACCACAAUGAGAUAUCACAAUGCUUUUGCUAGACAUAGACACAUUUAUUUCACAAUUUUUAGGAUAAACCACUGCCCCUAGAAUACAUUAAAAAAAUUUAGAAAGAAUAAUAAAGUAACAGAAAUCACUUUAACUGAGAUUAAGUUUUACUAUAGAGUUACAGUAAUCAAGACAGUGUUCUAUGUUACAGAAACAGACAAACAAAUCAAUGGAACACAAUAGAGAAACCAGGAUUAGCCCCAAGCAAAUAUGCUCAACAAAUUUUUGACAGACGUGCCAAGGCAAUUCAACAGAAGAAAGAAAGCUUUUCAACAGUUAGUACUAUAGCAAUUAGAAAACCAUAGGCAAAAUUGAACUGUAGCUUAAAUCUCACAUUUUAUACAAAAUUUGCUCAAAAUGAAUAAUGAAUCAACAUAAAAUAUUUAACCACAAAAUCUUAAAAAACGGAUAAUUUUUGGUGAUCUAGGCGUAGGCAAACAUUUCAUAUGAAGUCCAAACUUAACGUUAAGGUCAUGGUUUAGAAAAGGAAAAUUUGAUAAAUAGGACCUCAUCAAAAUAAAAAAUAUUGCUCUGCAAAAGACCCUUUUGAGAGAAUAAAAAGAUAAGCUCCAGAGUGGGAGAAAAUACUUGCAAAUCACAUAUGUGACAAAGAACUACUAUCUAUGCUAUAUAAAGAAGUCUCAUAAACCCUACAGUUCAAAGCUUUCACACUAAAAUCAGGAGCAAGGCAAGAAUGUUUCCUCUCACUGCUGCUUUUCAACAUCCAAUUGGAAAUCCUAUCUAAUGCAAUAAGACAAGAAUUGGAAACAGUAUACUGAUUGAUAGAGAAGGAGGAAAUAAACUGUCUUUGUUUGCAGAUGACAUGAUCAUCUUUGUAAAAGUUCCCAGAGAAUCAAUUUGAAAAUAUCUUUUGAAAGGAGAUUAUUGUAAUAACUUGUUAAUAAAUGAUUAUAGCAAGUUUGCAGGUUAAUGUACAAAAGUCAGUUACCUAUACACCAACUACCAAAAAUGAACAAUUGAAGUUUGAAAUUAAAAACAUAUUACCCUUUACAUUAG